Molecule: non-coding RNA, 510 nt
Organism: Peromyscus maniculatus bairdii (prairie deer mouse)
Lineage: Eukaryota; Metazoa; Chordata; Mammalia; Rodentia; Cricetidae
Source: RefSeq, a predicted model, not a curated record
GACCUGUGCACCAGAUCUGGGGUACCAUUAGGUAGACUGAUAUCCAGGUAAGUUCAAAGGAAGAGGGCUGAUGCCAAGUCAGAUGUAGGAGCAACUCUUCUCAAUUCUUCUAUUCCCUACCUUAGGAGAGAUCAUCUUUUGCAAAUACUAGCUAGCAGUCACAACAGGAAUCAGGAGUUCUGAAAGGCCUAGAGCUGAGAGCAAGCUUUUGGGGUGGUGGAAGCUUGCAACCUGAUUUUGGUUCUAAUUUCAUUUUGAGUCUUCUUUUCAGAUUGUGGAUCACAUGUCUUGAACUACGAAUGGAAAGAUAAAAUCAGAGAGAAAGUCUUUACCUUUUCAAAGCCGGACAACUUUUAGUGUCUUGGUGGAGCCACCCAACCCAGAGCAGAUACAGAAAGGCAAUGGGUUGGUUCCACAAAUCCCCUGAAGCCAUGCCCAUGUCAACCAUCAUCCUUCUGUGUGGACAUCUCUUGGGCUCCUCACAUCAAUGGGCUUUUCUAUUGAAUCUUU